This 752-nucleotide long non-coding RNA is filed under the name Anas platyrhynchos platyrhynchos (common mallard). RNAcentral describes it as "lncRNA (ENSAPLG00000016701.1)". Lineage: Eukaryota; Metazoa; Chordata; Aves; Anseriformes; Anatidae. The record is from RNAcentral.
GUGAUUACCUUCUCCCUCAGAGCACUCCUCAUUGUUUGGUUUCCUUCCUGUAGGACAUGCUGACCAUGUGUCUUUCUACCUGCUUGGCUCCUUACAUUUGACAGAGAGGAAACAAUAAUAUUAGAGUGGCUAUUUUGAAACUGUCUGGGACUUGCUGAAUUAAUUGCUCUUCUGGCUGGAGCAGGAGAAAAAUGAGAUGAGGACCCUCCAGAGAGAUUCUGUGUGCAUCAGAAAUGUUGCUUGUGCUUUUGGAGAAAUCCCCUUAUUUGAAACAAACAGGCUAACAUAUGAAGGAGUUAAGGAUACAUAUAUUACGAAAAAGAAACAUUGUAAUUAAGAGUUCUCUGUGACACAAAACAGUUUAAUUAGGUCAUGUACAGAAGAAUGAAAAGCAACAAAUACACAUUCUUUCAGUUUCACCAGGACUUGUACUUUAUCCUCCAGAGUUCAUAAGUGAGCAGUGAUCUGUAAAAACAGUUUCAGAUGAACAGGUUUGGAAAUCCAGAUUCCUCAUCCAAACACUACUGGAACACUGCAGUCAAGUUUGGUCUAAAGGGUAAGUGAUAUUUGCAAUCCAAUGGAAAGUAUAUACAUAUAUAUACAUAUAUAUUUAAGAAACCUGAUUGUUUCUUGUUGCUAUUGUUUAACAAAAUCUUUGACACUGGCACGUAGAACAAGAAUUUGAUGGAAUGAUAUAUUUUCUGUCCACAGAAUGAAAUAAAUAAAUAAAUAAAUAAAUAAGGUAAAAAAUA